This 253-nucleotide ribosomal RNA is filed under the name uncultured bacterium. Its description in RNAcentral is "partial 16S ribosomal RNA". It matches the Rfam family "Bacterial small subunit ribosomal RNA", at positions 524 to 776 of the family's 1533-position model. The record is from RNAcentral.
UACGUAGGGUGCGAGCGUUGUCCGGAAUUAUUGGGCGUAAAGGGCUCGUAGGCGGUUUGUCGCGUCGGGAGUGAAAACGCCGUGCUUAACACGGCGCUUGCUUUCGAUACGGGCAGACUAGAGGUAUGCAGGGGAGAACGGAAUUCCUGGUGUAGCGGUGAAGUGCGCAGAUAUCAGGAGGAACACCGGUGGCGAAGGCGGUUCUCUGGGCCGAUACUGACGCUGAGGAGCGAAAGCGUGGGGAGCGAACAGG